This 508-nucleotide ribosomal RNA is filed under the name uncultured bacterium. Its description in RNAcentral is "partial 16S ribosomal RNA". It matches the Rfam family "Bacterial small subunit ribosomal RNA", at positions 28 to 507 of the family's 1533-position model. The record is from RNAcentral.
GACGAACGCUGGCGGCGUGCCUAAUACAUGCAAGUCGAGCGCAGGUAGUCAUCCGAACCCUUCGGGGGGACGUUGACGGAAUGAGCGGCGGACGGGUGAGUAACACGUAAAGAACCUGCCCUCAGGUCUGGGAUAACCACGAGAAAUCGGGGCUAAUACCGGAUGGGUCAUCGGACCGCAUGGUCCGAGGAUGAAAGGCGCUCCGGCGUCGCCUGGGGAUGGCUUUGCGGUGCAUUAGCUAGUUGGUGGGGUAAUGGCCCACCAAGGCGACGAUGCAUAGCCGACCUGAGAGGGUGAUCGGCCACACUGGGACUGAGACACGGCCCAGACUCCUACGGGAGGCAGCAGUAGGGAAUCUUCCACAAUGGACGAAAGUCUGAUGGAGCAACGCCGCGUGAACGAUGAAGGCCCUCGGGUCGUAAAGUUCUGUUGUAAGGGAAGAACAAGUGCCGCAGGCAAUGGCGGCACCUUGACGGUACCUUGCGAGAAAGCCACGGCUAACUACGUG